AGGACGAACGCUGGCGGCGUGCUUAACACAUGCAAGUCGAGCGGAAAGGCCCUUCGGGGUACUCGAGCGGCGAACGGGUGAGUAACACGUGAGCAACCUGCCCUUAGCUCUGGGAUAGCUCCGGGAAACCGGAAUUAAUACCGGAUAUGACCUAGGCCGACAUCGGCCGUGGUGGAAAGUUUUUCGGCUAGGGAUGGACUCGCGGCCUAUCAGCUAGUUGGUGGGGUAAUGGCCUACCAAGGCGACGACGGGUAGCCGGCCUGAGAGGGCGACCGGCCACACUGGGACUGAGACACGGCCCAGACUCCUACGGGAGGCAGCAGUGGGGAAUAUUGCGCAAUGGGCGAAAGCCUGACGCAGCGACGCCGCGUGCGGGAUGAAGGCCUUCGGGUUGUAAACCGCUUUCAGCAGGGACGAAGCGAAAGUGACGGUACCUGCAGAAGAAGCGCCGGCUAACUACGCGCCAGCAGCCGC
RNAcentral lists this ribosomal RNA (474 nucleotides) under uncultured bacterium. RNAcentral's name for it is "SSU rRNA". It matches the Rfam family "Bacterial small subunit ribosomal RNA", at positions 26 to 518 of the family's 1533-position model. The record is from RNAcentral.